UGAGUGCUCAGUGGUAGUCAGUAGAUCAGUAGAUCAGGCUUUGAUUGUAAACUCUAAAAUAGUUUCAGGAGCCUAUCAGUUCAAUUUGUUUCAAUUCUAAUUUCAGUUUCUUGUUAACCAACUACAAAAAAAAGCCACAAUAAUUAAUUCUUACGUCAUGUCUUCAGGAGCUUAUUUUGAGAAAAGAGUCUCUUUAAAGCUUUUGUUAUUAAUGCUAUACAGAGUUGGUCCUGGAUCUGUCCACAUUGUCAGUUGACUAUCUCAACUAUGUUAUCUAUGAGGAGAAUGUGCAUGAGAUGCUGCUGUCAUGACUGUGUUGGCAUAAAUAUGACAGCUGCCAUGAAAAUACAUCAUCGUUACCUGUGACACCAAUCAAUGAGCAUGAUGAGGGCACUUUGCGAACAACUUCAGGUAUUUCUAAAAUGAUAAAAUUCCACAUAAUUCAUCAAAUGUUUAUGUGUUCUGACACCUAACUUAUAUUGUGGCUUACCAUGUGCCCUAAAUAUUCCUGUUUACAGAUCAGUCGACAUGUUAGCUGUGUGACUUGUAGAAUAUAUACAUGUUAACCUGGACAUCUUUGUCAGCAUUGGUGAGUAAUCAGCAUUUUAGUCAUUAAUCACGUAAUAAACAUGUCAUGAUGAUAUAUGAAUGAUGCAUGCAUUUUGGAUUAUUGAAUAAGUAUCAUUACAUACCAAACAUAGUAAGCUAUGACACCUAGGAUUCAAUCAAGAGCUGUUAGUCAUGCUUGUACAAGCAUUUGAUAAUAACUGUAAUAAUAUCUAUACUCACAUGAAUACUAUUAUAGCCAAUUUUAAUGAUAUAGAAGUUCUUCUUACAAGCUUUAUUACAGUUUAUUUCAGUGUAUAAACUGAUUGUGGUCAAAACUGUUUAACUAAGUUGUAUUUUAUUCAUAUUGCCUAAGAUUUGUCCCUUACAUCCAAAGUACAUAUUGCAACCAUUUAUUUCAAAUGCCAAAUAUAGGCAAUAACUCAGUCAGUAUUAAAUCAGCACUGUUCUCACAUGUAAAACUGAUCAGCAGAUAUGUGGUAAACCAGAUCACAAGUUUAGCUGUACAGUUUGAAAACACAAUCACCAUGAUCAUAGUAUCUUAACUCUGAGCCGUAGCAGUGGUACUUGAAAGGCCAUGGCAUGAUUAAAUGUUUUAAGUCAUAAAUCUUUUAAAUAUACACUUCAUAAAUAUAAACUUGUUUAAUUCAUCAACUAUAACCAUGAUAACAACUACCUGGUUAGGGUUCUCAUUUUUUAACACAGCCUAUAGCAAAAACUAGAAGUUCCCAGUUAGCCAUUGGCCAAAACGUUCACACAUGAAAGAUGAAGUGAUUGAUAAGUCCUAAAAGUUGGUCAUUCCCUCCAGAGAGUUGGCUGAAGUGUUCCACUAUUGCUAUGGUGGAUCAAGAUCAUGCAAGGCCAGCGAGUCAACACAAUGAAGUACUAGUAUCCGGUGACGGAUGUCUGGAGGAGCUUUCUGCUGACAGUAACACAAUGGUUACAAUGUGCGUCCUGUCAAAGGACGAGGAAGUGAAAAGCCAUAAUCAUUUAAUCAACAAAUGUGCUUCCUGUCAUAUUUCACUUAAAUAGGACGAGGAAGUGAAAAGCCUUAUUCACUCACAAAUCAACAUGGCCAAUAUUUAUCGAACACUGAAAAAGCACAUUGUACCAUUUGUUUACAAG
This 1692-nucleotide long non-coding RNA is filed under the name Haliotis rufescens (red abalone). RNAcentral describes it as "uncharacterized LOC124115557". The record is from RNAcentral. Lineage: Eukaryota; Metazoa; Mollusca; Gastropoda; Lepetellida; Haliotidae.